AUUGAACGCUGGCGGAAUGCCUAACACAUGCAAGUCGAGCGGAGUAGCAAUACUCAGCGGCGGACGGGUGAGGAAUACAUAGGAACUUGCCUUUAGGUGGGGGAUAGCUUGGGGACACUCAAGGUAAUACCGCAUGAUCUCGCAAGAGCAAAGGGGCGCAAGUCUCGCCUUUAGAGAGGCCUAUGUCUGAUUAGCUAGUUGGCGGUGUAAUAGACCACCAAGGCGAGUAUCAGUAACUGGGCUGAGAGGACGAUCAGUCACACCGGAACUGAGACACGGUCCGGACUCCUACGGGAGGCAGCAGUGGGGAAUAUUGGACAAUGGGCGAAAGCCUGAUCCAGCAAUUCCGCGUGUGUGAAGAAGGCCUUCGGGUUAUAAAGCACUUUAGUGAGGGAAGAAACAGCUUGGCCACACCAAGCCUUGACGGUACCUCAAGAAUAAGCACCGGCUAACUCUGUGCCAGCCGCCGCAGUAA
RNAcentral lists this ribosomal RNA (475 nucleotides) under uncultured bacterium. RNAcentral's name for it is "partial 16S ribosomal RNA". It matches the Rfam family "Bacterial small subunit ribosomal RNA", at positions 30 to 523 of the family's 1533-position model. The record is from RNAcentral.